This is a non-coding RNA of Triangularia verruculosa, 304 nucleotides long. The record is from the annotation of a GenBank genome assembly. NCBI's taxonomy places the organism in Eukaryota, Fungi, Ascomycota, Sordariomycetes, Sordariales, Podosporaceae.
GGGCGUAUGGUCUAGUGGUUACGAUUUUCUCAAGAGGUCAUGACUUUAGCAAAGACGAAGCGUUAACCCUUCCGCAAGCCAUUGCUUGACGAGAAUGAGGUGAAGCACUCUUUCAAAGACCCGUACCUUGGAAUCAGCUCCUUCGCGGGAGCCUCCCUGGUCGGAAGUCAGUCCCAUGGUUUACCAGCAACCCUCCCCCCUCCGUGGGAAAGUGUGGGUAAUGCUGGUUUGUCGACUUCAGACAAGCCAAGUGUGAUGACUUUGAUCGUCUUGAGAGACCUAGGUUCGAAUCCUAGUGCGUCCA